Molecule: ribosomal RNA, 2258 nt
Filed under: marine metagenome
Description: bacterial LSU rRNA
Rfam family: Bacterial large subunit ribosomal RNA
Source: RNAcentral
AGGGCACACGGUGGAUGCCUAGGCAUGCAGAGGCGAAGAAGGACGUGUAAAGCUGCGAUAAGCUGCGGGGAGUUGCAAAAGAACUGUGAUCCGCGGAUUUCCGAAUGGGGCAACCCACUCUAAUUUAUUAGGGUAUCCUUUCGAGGAGGCAUACCCGGGGAACUGAAACAUCUAAGUACCCGGAGGAAGAGAAAACAACAGUGAUUCCGCAAGUAGUGGCGAGCGAACGCGGAGCAGCCCAAACCGCAUCCUACGGGGUGCGGGGUAGUAGGACCUGCGUAAUUUUUGUAAUCUUAAAUCGAAGCUGUCUGGAAAGCAGCGCCACAGAAGGUGAAAGCCCUGUAGGUGUACCGAUUACAAAAAGGCGGGUAUCCUGAGUAGCGCGAGACCGGUGAAAUCUUGCGUGAACCAGCCGGCACCAUCCGGUAAGGCUAAAUACAUCUGCAUGACCGAUAGUGAACCAGUACCGUGAGGGAAAGGUGAAAAGAACGCCGAGAAGGCGAGUGAAAUAGUACCUGAAACCGUGUGCUUACAAGCGGUCGGAGCUGCAUUUAUGUAGUGACGGCGUGCCUUUUGUAUAAUGAGCCUACGAGUUGCUCCUGUUGUGCGAGGUUAAGCCCCUAAGGGGUGGAGCCGUAGCGAAAGCGAGUCUGAAUAGGGCGUGCAGUACAGCGGGGCAGACGCGAAACCAAGUGAUCUAUCCAUGGUCAGGGUGAAGCGGUGGUAAGACACCGUGGAGGCCCGAACCGGUUGACGUUGAAAAGUCUUCGGAUGAACUGUGGAUAGGGGUGAAAGGCCAAUCAAACUUGGAGAUAGCUCGUACUCCCCGAAAUAUAUUUAGGUAUAGCGUCUGGUUUUGUCUCACUGGAGGUAGAGCACUGAUUAGGCUAGGGCCCUUCACCGGGUACCAACCCUAGACAAACUCCGAAUACCAGUGAUGAGCCGCCAGGCAGUCAGUCGCAGGGUGAUAACGUCCUGUGGCGAGAGGGGAACAACCCAGACCACCAGCUAAGGUCCCUAAAUACCGACUAAGUUGAUCAAAGAAAGUUGAGUUGCUCAGACAACUAGGAGGUUGGCUUAGAAGCAGCCAUUCCUUUAAAGAGUGCGUAAUAGCUCACUAGUCAAGCGACUCGGCGUCGAUAAUAAUCGGGCAUAAGUCGGUUACCGAAGCUGUGGGAUUUAACGAUCGGUAGGGGAGCAUUCCAGUCAGCGCAGAAGCAGCGCCCGCGAGGGGCCGUGGAGCGGCUGGAAGCGAAAAUGUAGGCAUGAGUAACGAUAAGAAGGGUGAAAAACCUUUCCACCGUAAACCCAAGGGUUCCUGAUCAACGCUAAUCGGAUCAGGGUUAGUCGAGACCUAAGGUGUACCCGGUGAGGCCGGGGAAGCCGAUGGCAAAGCGGUUAAAUAUUCCGCUACCGAAGCCAACGUAUGGCUAAGGCGUGACGCAGAAGUGACACUCCCGCGUGCUGACGAAUGCACGUUAAAGGGCGUAGGCCGGGGGGCAGGCAAAUCCGCCUCCCGUUAAGGCUGAACCCCGACAGUACUCGGAUUCUCACGAUGAAGAGAUAGUGGAGGUAAUCAUGCUGCCAAGAAAAGCGUCGUAGUUUGUUGUCUUCGCUCGUACCCCAAACCGACACAGGUGGGUGAGGAGAGUAUCCUCAGGUGCUCGAGUAAUUCAUGGCUAAGGAACUAGGCAAAUUCGAUCCGUAACUUCGGGAGAAGGAUCCCCUGACUAUGUCAGGGCGCAGUGAAAAGGCCCAAGCGACUGUUUACCAAAAACACAUGUCUCUGCUAAGCCGUAAGGCGAUGUAUAGGGACUGACACCUGCCCGGUGCUGGAAGGUUAAAGAAGGGGGUUAGCUUCGGCGAAGCCCUUGACUGAAGCCCCGGUAAACGGCGGCCGUAACUAUAACGGUCCUAAGGUAGCGAAAUUCCUUGUCGGGUAAGUUCCGACCUGCACGAAUGGUGUAACGACUUGGGCACUGUCUCGGCCAUGAGCUCGGUGAAAUUGUGGUAUCGGUGAUGACGCCGAUUACCCGCAGCGGGACGAAAAGACCCCGUGAACCUUUACUACAACUUUACAUUGGCUUUAGCUGUCGCAUGUGUAGGAUAGGCGGGAGACUUUGAAGCGGCGUCGCCAGGCGUUGUGGAGUCACCCUUGAAAUACCGCCCUUGCCACAGGUGAAGUCUAACCCUUAAGGGGGAACAGUGUAUGGUGGGUAGUUUGACUGGGGCGGUCGCCUCCUAAAGAGUAACGGAGG